CCUACGGGAGGCAGCAGUGGGGAAUAUUGCGCAAUGGGCGAAAGCCUGACGCAGCGACGCCGCGUGAGGGAUGAAGGUCUUCGGAUCGUAAACCUCUGUCAGCAGGGAAGAACGGUCACUGUGCUAAUCAGCAGUGAAUUGACGGUACCUGCAAAGGAAGCACCGGCUAACUCCGUGCCAGCAGCCGCGGUAAUACGGAGGGUGCGAGCGUUAAGCGGAAUUACUGGGCGUAAAGCGCUCGUAGGCGGUAUGUCAAGUCAAGGGUGAAAUCCCCGCGCUCAACGUGGGAACUGCCUUUGAAACUGGCAAACUGGAGUGUGUGAGAGGAUAGUGGAAUUCCAGGUGUAGGAGUGAAAGCCGUAGAUAUCUGGAGGAACAUCAGUGGCGAAGGCGACUAUCUGGCACAUAACUGACGCUGUGGAGCGAAAGCGUGGGUAGCAAACAGGAUUAGAUACCCGAGUAGUC
This 465-nucleotide ribosomal RNA is filed under the name uncultured bacterium. RNAcentral's name for it is "partial 16S ribosomal RNA". It matches the Rfam family "Bacterial small subunit ribosomal RNA", at positions 338 to 795 of the family's 1533-position model. The record is from RNAcentral.